Molecule: non-coding RNA, 384 nt
Filed under: Ananas comosus (pineapple)
Lineage: Eukaryota; Viridiplantae; Streptophyta; Magnoliopsida; Poales; Bromeliaceae
Description: Bacterial small subunit ribosomal RNA
Rfam family: Bacterial small subunit ribosomal RNA
Source: Rfam by way of RNAcentral
AAUUUAGUUAGCUAGAAGUUUGAUAAUUAAUACACGAGAUUUGUAAAAAUUUGUAAAAAAUCGAGUUUUGUAAUUUAGAUAGAACAUAUCAGAGGAAUAAGUAUCAGCUAACUCUCUAUACCGGUAGCCACAAUAAGACAAAGGAUGCAAGCGUUAUUCAGAAUAAUUGGGCGUAAAGCGCUUAUUGGUGGCUUGUCAAGUCCGCCGUCAAAUUUUAGGGCUCAACCUUGAACAGGCGGUGGAAACUAUCAAGCUGGAGUACGAUAGGAGCAGAGAAAAUUUCCGGUGGAGGAUGAAAUGCGUAGGGGAUUGGAAACAACAUCAACGGGGACCUUAGAGCUUAUAUUAACUCAUAUAUAUAUCUCUUUAUCGAUCAUUUCAAUU